Molecule: ribosomal RNA, 289 nt
Filed under: uncultured Hyphomicrobiales bacterium
Lineage: Bacteria; Pseudomonadati; Pseudomonadota; Alphaproteobacteria; Hyphomicrobiales
Description: uncultured Rhizobiales bacterium partial 16S ribosomal RNA
Source: RNAcentral
CUACUGGGGUAUCUAAUCCUGUUUGCUCCCCACGCUGUCGUGCCUCAGCGUCAGUUCCGGACCAGUGAGCCGCCUUCGCCACCGGUGUUCUUGCGAAUAUCUACGAAUUUCACCUCUACACUCGCAGUUCCACUCACCUCUUCCGGACUCAAGAUCCACAGUAUCAAAGGCAGUUCCGAGGUUGAGCCUCGGGAUUUCACCCCUGACUUAUGAACCCGCCUGCGCACCCUUUACGCCCAGUGAUUCCGAACAACGCUAGCCCCCUUCGUAUUACCGCGGCGGCUGGCAC